UGCUGCUGCCGCCGCGUCCGUUUCCCUAGCGACCGGGAUGCCAAGCCCUCCCGCCUCUGCUCUCCUUAUAUUGGGUACUGAACUCUAGCUCCGCCCCAUUAAGUUAAUAAGCAGGUCAAAUACAGAGGAAAAGAUACCCACCACAGGACACCGGCUGAAAGUCUACACAGGAACUUGUCAGAACCAGGACUUUACUCACCUCUCAGUGGACUCCAGGAUUUGUGGUGUGCCCUACCCCGGACAGUUGUGGCUGCAGGAGGUUUUUCCUCAAUGACCACUCCCAUCUCUGGGUUGUGACAAUGGGUUGAGGAUGAGCACCUCACUCAAGCAAAGCCAACCACAGCUGCUGAACUCCGGCCUUGGUGCUCCUCCUAUACACGACAUUAAGAUGCACGUGUUUUCUACUGAGGCUGCUAACCAGGACCCUCCCUGAUAAUGGGGCCAGCAGAGAACAGAGAUGGAUUAGUGAUGCUAACAUCUGUCCACCAGGAUCCUGCCAUGCCUGAAGCCUGAUUACCUCCAGCCUCAGGGUCUCAUGGUGGAUCCUAGUUUGGCCUCAAAGUUCCUAGACUCCCACAUCAUCCUACCAAUUGCUAGAAAUAAAGGUGUGUAUCACCAUCCCAAAUCCUCUGUGAUCUUCAAAGGCAUCUCUAAGGACAGUUUUCUGGAAAUCACCCUAUGAAAUUCAGACGGAAAUCACAGUGACUGCUUCAACCUUGGUUUGCUCGAUGGUCCUCAAACUUGAGCAAGCACCCAACUCCCCAGGACUCCACACAGAUCACCGGGCUCCUAGGUGGGAAGUGAGUCCUGAUAAUUGUAUUUCUGACAAGUUCUUGAGUGUGAUGGCUAAUCCUCACAGCCAACUAGACUGUAUUUGGAAUCAUCCUAAAGACUGGUGAGACAUGCCUCUGGGUGUUACAAGGAGGAUGUGUCCAGAGAGCAUUAACUUACAGGAAAGACUCACCCUGAGUGAGGGUGGUUCCAUGCUGUGUAGGCUGAGCAUCUGGAGAGACUAGAUGGAGUGAAAGGAGAAAGCGAGCGGAGCUGCACUGCCCUCUCCUUCCUGGCCCACCAUGAUGUGCACAGAGCUUCUCUGUCAUGCUUCACCCACCAUGGAAGGAAUCUUCUAGACAAUGAGCUGAAUUAAACACUUCCUCUUUGAAGUUGUUUCUGUCAGGUGUCUGGUUAUAGCACAAAAAGAGCAGCCAAACACCAGGCAAAGCAGAUGAUACACUAUGCCUCAAUGACUAUAUCUUGUGAUUAUUCUGUUGGGACUAGUGACAGGUCAGUCUUCAGCUGGACCCAGAGACAAGUUCAGAAUGACAUAAAAGCCUCUGCACCAAUAAGAGAAGAAGGGCUGGUAAAAAAGAGAAGCCCCACGCAGGUGGACAAUCAGAAAAGAGGAGUCAAUGUCUCUUCUGUGUCAUGAUGAUGCACCGAGCUGGUGGACGGGUGAUAACAAAGAUAUGAGCAGGUAUCACCAAUUUCAUAGGAUGUCACUCAAACAACCAAUCCUCCCCUCCAUCCUGUAGAAACAGCUGUCAAUCUCUGCCUAUGUGUCAACUACCAGAGCCAAGGGACAAGGGAGCGUAGGCUGUCUCUGGGCCAACUGGAAUUACAGAGAAGCAAUUGUGAAUGUAUCAGGGCUGUAAAUGGAAGUAAGCAAGAACUUGGUGAUGUAUGCUGGCAUAGAAGCUCGAGAGUCCCCAUGUCACAGGACAGAAAAUCAUACAGUCCAAGCCAGGAGCAAGGUGACUCCAAGCUUCGGAGCAUGCAUUCCACCACCUGCUGAAUGCAACAGGGUGGAAGAGCAUUGAGAUGACAUCUCGACCUCAGGUGCUACCACCCGAGCCCUCCUCUGACAGCUCUCUACAAAGCACUGGAGUUUGGUUCCACCUCAGUCUCUCUCCAGGUUGUCUUGACUUCCUGUCAGAAUUCCAUGGCCUUCCCAAAUCUCUUUAGGAAGCACAAGUCAGAGGCAGUACAAAGGAGAAACUAUCACCAGGCAGAGGGGACAUUAAAGCAGAGAGGUCCUAGAGUGGGCUUCUGGACCUGAGCCGUGCUGUUGGCUCUGAAAAGAAAAGACUAGAAGGAUGUGUUCCUACAAAGGAGAGUUGUGGCAAGAAACAGAAGGUGAAAAUGGGAUAGUAUCCAAAUGGUGAUAUCUAUGAGACUCAAUAAAAUUCUGCAUCUGUGAAACUGCAUCAGCAGCCAUGAGACAGAAACAAGCCAAUGCAGACUGGUGGUGGCCUGCUGCAUCCCUGGACCGCAGACUGGAUGGAGAGGGAAAUUGGUGAUGGAGCAUCCUAGGAGAGAUUCGUGCUGCACGCUAAGCGAGAAGGACAAAGAGACAAACUCUGGUAGGACACCGCAGACACUCUAGGACUCGAAAUCCAUUUCAAAUAAGACUCCCUGAGGAGGGACAGAAGGGACAGUUCAGAAGCAAUAAUUAAAAGUUAAUUGUUUGCUGUUUUCCUGAGCAGAUGGAAGACUUCAGUCUUUAAAUCCAGAGAAAGAAUCAAGUCUUCAACUAUCUAUUAGAAGGUAUCAAUAUCUAAAUAUAGUCUGAUGGAAUGCCAUUUAAAAUUUAAGGAAAAGAAAGUUCAAAACAACCUCCUAAAACAUGAAAUCUAUAGAAAGUGAAGUCAUCCUCUCAAUAAUGGUGGGGAGACUGACAAGAUGGCUCAGUAGUUUAAGGGCAUUUACGGAGGAGCAGGGUUUGGCUCCCAGCACUCACAAGCACCUGCACCUUCAGCUCCAGGGGAUCCUACACCCUCCUCUGGCCUCCACAGACACCUGUACUCACAUACACAUAUAAACACAUACAUACAAUUUUUGUUUUUAAAAAUUAUUCAGGACUCACUCCUUUGUUCUUGGGACAACAUACUGGCAGAGGCCCAUGUUCACCUAGAACUCAACUGACACUUCAUUUCAAACCCAUCUAAGCCAAAGGGACAUAAAAAUGGUCCCCAUUUCCUUUGAGGAAGUUAAAUGUGUUAAUAUACAUAGUCCAUAUUACACAGCCUUUAGUGUUAGGCCUUUUUAAGAAUUUGGUAAUAUUUUGGAAUAAAGACCUUUUGGCUUCCUUUGCCCACUUCAAAAUUCACUGGAAAUAAUGAAAGGAAGAGGAAGUAAUAAAAUUAGUCAAAAACAUGCAGCUUUUUUUUUUAUUAAAUAUAGAUGGAGCAGUUGGAAAAAUAUCCCACAGAUAAAAGCACAUAUAAAGAUACAUAGAGAAAUCAAUUCAAAGUUGACUAAGAACCUAAAUAUACAACAUCAAUCCUAAAAAUUGUUAGGAGCAAAUAUAGGGUAAUGUAUAUAGGAUUAUAAACUAGAAAAGAAAUUAUAGAAAAAACUUUAAUCAUGAUACACCAAAAGCAAUCAUAAAACUAUAUAUUCAAGACUAGUAAAUACAUGCGUAUUAAUAUCAAGAUAACAUAAAUAUCUUCAAAGCAAUAAAAGAGAAAACAAUCCAAAUUGGAAAAACCAAAUAAAAAAUGAAUAGGCAACUUACAGAGGUGAAAACCCAAUGAGCCAAUACACAUAAAGUAGUUUUCAGUCCCGCAAGUAAUCAGGAAAAUUCAAAUUAAAACUCUAAUGAAGGAGCAUUUCACACCCAGUAGACUGGUAAACAUAUAAAUGCCCAAGACUUCUGACUUGAGACCUAAUGGAAGGAUAAUCAGUAAAAUUGUCUUGAGAAGACCUGUGGCAGCGGCUGAUAGAGUUGAGUAUGGCUACUAUAGAAUCAGUGACUUUUUGUAGUUGUCCACCCUAGACCAACCUUCAUGAGCUUAUGAGAGGCUAAGCAUAAGUGAGUUCAGUGCAAGAGUGUUUGUAAUUGAGACAAACAGGGGUUCUACAAUCCUACCCAGAAAAAAAAGUGAUAAAUCAUGGUGUAGUCUUCAAAUGUAAUUCUGCAACAGUGCAAAGUGAAAUGUAAUGAGGGGAAGUGAACUGACACUUUAAAUGUCAACAUGGAUGAUCUCAGCUAUAAUGCUGAGCACACAAAGCAAACUGAAGAAAAACAGGGCGGCAGGAUCGAGAAGGAGUUUUGAAAUAUGCAAUAUAAUGUUUGAUAUUGUUCGAGGACAUGGGCAUGCAUAAUGUUAUACAAACAUGAAGACAUUCAACACAAUUUUCAAUAUAUAUUUCAAGGUAACAGUUACUUCUGCGGUAAGAAUGUGAAAGUAGCUGAGAAAGUUGGGAGGAGCUGAUCCUGUGCUCUGUUUCUUACACCGGGAAGCUGGAGAUGUGUUUGACCAUUAAAUGAUUCUGUUUUGUUUAUUUAUUUGUUCAUUUGGUUGAGAUAGGGUCAUCUCCCAGGAUGACCAAAAUUUGGGAUCUUCCUGUUUCAGCCCCCCCCCCAAUGUAGAACUGAAGAUUAUGCUACUAUGUCCAGCUAGAUGGUUCUUUUCUCCAGUUAUCUUCGUGGUGUAUGUUUAUGUUUAGUUGUUUGAGGACAUAACUGCUCCAAGGUAUGGUUGAGGUUUUUUUGUAGGUAUAAGGGAGAGUAUAGCCAGGCACAUCUGGAAGAGUCCAGAGCAGAGAGAGAAAGCAGUACACUGAGCAUGGCCUGGACUGGGCCAUGAGAGCAAAGAGGAGGGAGGAGAGUGGAAGAGGAAGAGACAACCAGGAGAGAGGGGAUCAUAAGAGGAAUAUAAAAAGAGUGGAUAGCCAAAAUAGCAGGGUUAUAUGGAAUGGAGAAGGUGGGGGAGGGAAGCCCAUUAGCUAGAGAAAUUUCGGGUACAGGGCGGGAUGAGAAGCCCUGAGAAGAACCAGGACGCCAGCAUGAACUCUGUAACAGGUCCUUGCGAUUCUGAGUAAGCCUGGAAGCCAGCAUCAACUUCUGUGGACUAAUAGAUACCACAGACAGCCAUUUGUCCAGGGUUUCUUUUGAACCUGACACCCUGUAAAUAAUUUCUUAUUUUAUUUGCUGAUAGAUGUAAUAAGAUUAUAGGUACUGUGUAGAUGAAUGGAUAGAUACAUAAUAGAUAAAAGGGACAGAGACAGGUGUUGGCUGAAUAGACAGUUUGAUGGUAGAUAGAAUUAUUAGUUUGCUUGGUUAAACUAUUCUUAGUCGAGAAUUUCAUACGUUGUCAAUUUUUUUUUCAAGAACAAAGAUAACAGAGAGUCUCCAGUUUUAAGACUACCCAUAAGCACCUGCUGGGAAAUAAUCUGCCAACAAAAGGCAAGCCACAGGAUUUCUGAAACUGUAGCUGUGUGUGUUUCUAAUCUUCAACCAGCCUUGGAAUCCUAAAAUUCCCUAAGGAAAGACUGGUAAAGCAGACUGCACAGUUUUAAACAUUUGCAGAAUUAUCCUUAUGGACAGCAGUAGGGCUAAAGGGCGCUGAGCCACCCUGGUGAAGCUGGUGAACAAACAGCAAAGAAAGUGAGGAUGGAAUAAACCAGAGAGCAGCCACAGACACAGAGUGAGAGCUCCAGCUUUGGAGGCUGCUUGCAAUGCAGAGCAUGCGCUUAGAGCUCCCAUGGAACGGAGCUCUCAGGAGCCUGCGAGACAGCUGGAAGGACACCGAAGGCCAGAGUCCCAGACACACACACAAACCUGAAACUCCUCUGUGUAAAAAUAUGCCCAAGACCACAGAGGGAGCACAUAUAAAACCCCAGCAGGAGACUGUACUGCCCAGGAUAAAGGGCCAGCCCUGGCUUACACACAGCUGAAGCAUAUCACUGACACACCAAGUGCAAAUGUGUACAUCAACUAGAAACAGACAAUUGCCCCCACUUGCUGCUGACCCCACAUGAGAAAGCAAGCUAAAUCAUUUUAAAGGCCAAUGGACAUAUAAAACUAGCUAACCUUAACUCUUAAUUAAGCAAAUGUAAAUAAAAAUAUGACACAUUUUUUGUUUUUGUUUUUGUUUUUUUUUAUUUUGGUUUCUGUUUUGUUUUGACUUGUUUUGGAGACAAGGUCUCUCUACAUAGCCCUGGCUGUCCUGGAACUCGAUAUAUAGACCAGGCUGGCCUUGAACUCACAGAGAUCUGCUGGCCUCUGUCUCCCAAAUGCUGGGAUUAAAGAUGUGCACCACCAGGCUCAGCCUUAUAAUGUACCUUUAAAAGAAAACUAAACAAUUUCACUAAACCUAAGAAUUCCAUGACACGAGAUGUCAAGGGAGUUACUUCAUAGAACAAUACCUACUCGGCUUGUCACCCAGCUGCUGGGAAUUUUUCCUACUUACUGGCUUUCCAAUUUUUCCACAAGUUGGAACCAGCAUAAACAGCACAGGGUUGACUGCAGAAUUUUUGCCAGUGAAUAACAACUAUGAAAAGACUGAGGCAGAGCAGUAUGUACCAAUGGCAAAGAUUUCCAAGGCACAGGGAAAAGUGAACGAGGAGGAGAAGGAAGAGGAAGAAGGUGAAGAGGAGGAAGAAGUGGGAGAGACUGCCACAGUGAGGCGCAAAACAAAGUCUCAAUAUGGCCCCUUUUAUAUAGAGAAUAAUUAGAAGUUAUACAAUGAGAAUAUCAGCAGGCCCAUUGCAAGGAAGAUGUUUUAUGCAAGCAACAUAUUUUUCUGGUAAUAAACUUGCUUACAACAUUCAUUCCUUUGGGAGAGGGCCUGGGAUGAAAGGAAGGAGAUGCUUAACUUUGAUUUUUUACUAACUUACUGUUUGAAUUUUUAAACCCGUGCAUGUUCUCUGCUUACUUUUCACAAUAUUUAUAGAGCAUAUGAGAACCAGGAAGAGGGGUUAGGCUCUGUAUUUUCCCCUCUUCUUUAACAAUAAAAAAUAAAAAUCCCCAAUCCAAGGCAUUCUAUAAACAGAAGGUAGCCCAGGAAGCCAGCCACUUUUCUGUGGGUAAAUGACAGACACUGACGCCCACCUCAGAGGAAGCUGGUGGGGACUGAACGCAGUGAUGCGUAUCAAGGACUUCCGCAGAUGCCCCACACUAAUAAUCCCUCCAGAAAUGGUCUUGGCUCUUGUAUUAAGCCCACUCCUCUCCCUUUUCCAUGUAGGGAGCUUCACACUGACCUUGAACCAGAAAGAGGUCCAGUCACAAAGAGAUAGAGAGCCCCGGCUUUGGCAUCCAGCCUGAGGGCUCCCCCUCCCCCUCCCCCUGCCAGUGGACCUCUGGAGUUCCUCCAUUUCCCAUGAGCCUCAGCCUAGCUCUAUAAGGGAGAGGCUAGAAACCAAGAGACUGAGCUUCCUCAGGUAGUCACUUUCUGAUGAGCAAACCAGGGGAAUUCCAAUCUGGUUCUAACAAGGUAAACUGAAGGAAGAUUGUUCUAUUUGCCUGUGGAUUAUUUCUAGCUUAAAAAUCUCUAACAGGGAACUAUGUGAAAUGCUCUAUUUAUCUCAUGUGACAAUUCUGCUUCAUGCUCACACUAACCUAUGGUGACCUUGUACUCCAGCACCCACAAAGAAGCACCUCUACUGUGAAAAACCCCCAUCCAAGGUCUUCCUUCUGCCUAGGCUGUAUGUAACCUUGGGAGAUGACAAGGAGCAUGACCAGACACCUGUCCCUGUACCUCCAUGAAGGUGAGGUAUCCACAGCUGUGAGGACUCUGAAUAAACCCUCGACUGCAGGACACACUCAUGGACAGAGAAGGAAGUAUACAAGGCCAGAGCAGUAAGCAGGGAGUAGUCUCAAGGUCACAGAAAGUCUUGGGUUCAAUCUUAUCAGGAUGGAACCCUUCAUCCUAUAGUGCAGUCCUGGGAAGAUCUCAUCAGAUAUGGUGGGGGAGGGGCCAAGGUUCUAAUACCCAGCUUGAUAACCACCCAACAAGGGAUCAUCCUCCAGAAAGAAACUCACAUAUAUCAGCUCAAAUAAAUGCUUCCUAGUCACCAGUUUUAUCAGUAAAGAUACAAAACCCAAAUAAACAAAAACAUAAAUAUGCUUUUAAUAAGCAUCUCAAGCUGUGUCAAAAGACAAAGACAGAGCAGAGCAUGGUCAAGAGCAAAUUCUAGGUCAAUUUUAUCCACUGUGACAGGAGAUUUUA
Molecule: long non-coding RNA, 7952 nt
Organism: Peromyscus californicus insignis
Lineage: Eukaryota; Metazoa; Chordata; Mammalia; Rodentia; Cricetidae
Exons: 4
Source: RefSeq, a predicted model, not a curated record